RNAcentral lists this transfer RNA (77 nucleotides) under Shewanella piezotolerans WP3. Its description in RNAcentral is "tRNA-Val". The record is from RNAcentral. Lineage: Bacteria; Pseudomonadati; Pseudomonadota; Gammaproteobacteria; Alteromonadales; Shewanellaceae.
CAAUGCUUCCAAUGCAUACUAUUGCUGUGCGCGCCGCUCGCGCUGCCGGCCAAACGAUUAUACGUGCUUAUGCAGAA